RNAcentral lists this ribosomal RNA (153 nucleotides) under Tuber californicum. Its description in RNAcentral is "5.8S ribosomal RNA". It matches the Rfam family "5.8S ribosomal RNA". Rfam says of the family: 5.8S ribosomal RNA (5.8S rRNA) is a component of the large subunit of the eukaryotic ribosome. It is transcribed by RNA polymerase I as part of the 45S precursor that also contains 18S and 28S rRNA. Functionally, it is thought that 5.8S rRNA may be involved in ribosome translocation. Lineage: Eukaryota; Fungi; Ascomycota; Pezizomycetes; Pezizales; Tuberaceae. The record is from RNAcentral.
AACUUUCAACAACGGAUCUCUUGGCUCUCGCAUCGAUGAAGAACGCAGCGAAAUGCGAUAAGUAAUGUGAAUUGCAGAAUUCAGUGAAUCAUCGAAUCUUUGAACGCACAUUGCGCCCUUUGGUAUUCCUUAGGGCAUACCUGUUCGAGCGUC